This 31-nucleotide non-coding RNA is filed under the name Rattus norvegicus (Norway rat). Lineage: Eukaryota; Metazoa; Chordata; Mammalia; Rodentia; Muridae. The record is from RNAcentral.
GGUCAGUUGAUAGCUGAAGGUCGGUAGGCUG